This 257-nucleotide ribosomal RNA is filed under the name uncultured bacterium. RNAcentral's name for it is "partial 16S ribosomal RNA". It matches the Rfam family "Bacterial small subunit ribosomal RNA", at positions 796 to 1040 of the family's 1533-position model. The record is from RNAcentral.
UACACAGUAAACGAUGAAUACUGAUUGUUGAAUAGAUUUCUAUUCAGUGAUUAAGUUAACACGUUAAGUAUUCCGCCUGGGGAGUAUGAUCGCAAGAUUGGAACUCAAAGGAAUUGACGGGAAUUUGGACGAGCGGUGGAGCAUGUAGUUUAAUGCGAUUACACACGCUAAACCUUACCAGUUUUUGACAUAAUACUAAAUAAAAUAUAUUUGUUUAAACCAUAUAUUAUAUUUAUAUCUUCAUAGUAUUACAGGGU